This 1735-nucleotide ribosomal RNA is filed under the name Salmonella enterica. RNAcentral describes it as "partial 23S ribosomal RNA". It matches the Rfam family "Bacterial large subunit ribosomal RNA", at positions 1216 to 2925 of the family's 2925-position model. The record is from RNAcentral. Lineage: Bacteria; Pseudomonadati; Pseudomonadota; Gammaproteobacteria; Enterobacterales; Enterobacteriaceae.
AGGUGUUGUUGGGUAGGGGAGCGUUCUGUAAGCCUGCGAAGGUGGCCUGUGAGGGUUGCUGGAGGUAUCAGAAGUGCGAAUGCUGACAUAAGUAACGAUAAAGCGGGUGAAAAGCCCGCUCGCCGGAAGACCAAGGGUUCCUGUCCAACGUUAAUCGGGGCAGGGUGAGUCGACCCCUAAGGCGAGGCCGAAAGGCGUAGUCGAUGGGAAACGGGUUAAUAUUCCCGUACUUGGUGUUACUGCGAAGGGGGGACGGAGAAGGCUAUGUUGGCCGGGCGACGGUUGUCCCGGUUUAAGCGUGUAGGUGUGUGUUCCAGGUAAAUCCGGUUCACUUUAACACUGAGGCGUGACGACGAGGCACUACGGUGCUGAAGCAACAAAUGCCCUGCUUCCAGGAAAAGCCUCUAAGCAUCAGGUAACAUCAAAUCGUACCCCAAACCGACACAGGUGGUCAGGUAGAGAAUACCAAGGCGCUUGAGAGAACUCGGGUGAAGGAACUAGGCAAAAUGGUGCCGUAACUUCGGGAGAAGGCACGCUGACACGUAGGUGAAGUGAUUUACUCACGGAGCUGAAGUCAGUCGAAGAUACCAGCUGGCUGCAACUGUUUAUUAAAAACACAGCACUGUGCAAACACGAAAGUGGACGUAUACGGUGUGACGCCUGCCCGGUGCCGGAAGGUUAAUUGAUGGGGUCAGCGCAAGCGAAGCUCCUGAUCGAAGCCCCGGUAAACGGCGGCCGUAACUAUAACGGUCCUAAGGUAGCGAAAUUCCUUGUCGGGUAAGUUCCGACCUGCACGAAUGGCGUAAUGAUGGCCAGGCUGUCUCCACCCGAGACUCAGUGAAAUUGAACUCGCUGUGAAGAUGCAGUGUACCCGCGGCAAGACGGAAAGACCCCGUGAACCUUUACUAUAGCUUGACACUGAACAUUGAGCCUUGAUGUGUAGGAUAGGUGGGAGGCUUUGAAGUGUGGACGCCAGUCUGCAUGGAGCCGACCUUGAAAUACCACCCUUUAAUGUUUGAUGUUCUAACGUGGACCCGUGAUCCGGGUUGCGGACAGUGUCUGGUGGGUAGUUUGACUGGGGCGGUCUCCUCCUAAAGAGUAACGGAGGAGCACGAAGGUUGGCUAAUCCUGGUCGGACAUCAGGAGGUUAGUGCAAUGGCAUAAGCCAGCUUGACUGCGAGCGUGACGGCGCGAGCAGGUGCGAAAGCAGGUCAUAGUGAUCCGGUGGUUCUGAAUGGAAGGGCCAUCGCUCAACGGAUAAAAGGUACUCCGGGGAUAACAGGCUGAUACCGCCCAAGAGUUCAUAUCGACGGCGGUGUUUGGCACCUCGAUGUCGGCUCAUCACAUCCUGGGGCUGAAGUAGGUCCCAAGGGUAUGGCUGUUCGCCAUUUAAAGUGGUACGCGAGCUGGGUUUAGAACGUCGUGAGACAGUUCGGUCCCUAUCUGCCGUGGGCGCUGGAGAACUGAGGGGGGCUGCUCCUAGUACGAGAGGACCGGAGUGGACGCAUCACUGGUGUUCGGGUUGUCAUGCCAAUGGCACUGCCCGGUAGCUAAAUGCGGAAGAGAUAAGUGCUGAAAGCAUCUAAGCACGAAACUUGCCCCGAGAUGAGUUCUCCCUGAGACUUAGAGUCUCCUGAAGGAACGUUGAAGACGACGACGUUGAUAGGCCGGGUGUGUAAGCGCAGCGAUGCGUUGAGCUAACCGGUACUAAUGAACCGUGAGGCUUAACCUUACA